ACACCUCAACUCUCAUGGCUUGCUGUGAUGAGCUUGGACUUUGGGGGUCUUGUUGGCCUGUGAGCCAGCUCCUCUUAAAUGAAUUAGCUUGCCAGUGUUUGGUGGCAUCACAGGUGUGAUAACUAUCUAUGCUUGUGGUUUCCCAUCAGAUAACCUUCAGUGAUGGAGGUUCACUGGGGCUUAUAAACAUCUCUCCUCGGUGAGGACAGAUUUUGACU
This 218-nucleotide unclassified non-coding RNA is filed under the name uncultured Tomentella. RNAcentral describes it as "sequence contains ITS2". RNAcentral also lists the same sequence under 1 other name. Lineage: Eukaryota; Fungi; Basidiomycota; Agaricomycetes; Thelephorales; Thelephoraceae. The record is from RNAcentral.